RNAcentral lists this unclassified non-coding RNA (387 nucleotides) under Elsholtzia cyprianii. Its description in RNAcentral is "partial external transcribed spacer". The record is from RNAcentral. Lineage: Eukaryota; Viridiplantae; Streptophyta; Magnoliopsida; Lamiales; Lamiaceae.
AGCAUCUCCUUCACGCCUCUUCAUUUGUUGGCGCAAGCGUGGUCUCGGCCAAAAUCGGGUUUCCUGUGCUAGAUACCUAUCUCGAAGGUAUUUUGUCGGUUAAAAUUGUUGCCAUUCCGUUGUGUGCCACUGCUCCUUGCGGGGAAGUGGUGCGCUGCGGACCUCAAGGCACUCGCUGUGUCUCACAUUGUGUUCACCUAUAUAGGUGUUUCGAUUGCUGAGCCAUGGCGCAAUGCUUGAUAUCUCGGGUGCGGAACAUCUCGUGGGUAUGAGGCCUUUCGGCCUCUAAUCACCACAACAACAAGCGUUCUACGCUUCGUGCGAACGACGGUUGGCUCGGUCUUCAAAUGUGGUCUAGUAGCCCAAUUGGAGUCGAGCCAACGUCGG